ACGGUUCCCGCAGGUGCCAACAACACAGGGCCCACGCCUGCCACCCCAACGGCUCCUACAGAUCUUUGCCAAGUUGACUCCUGUGACGGUGGCUCUUACUGUGUUAAUCUGAAUAGUACACAUGUGUGCCUGUGUAUAGAUGGGUUUUACUAUAAUUCUUCCAUCUGCAAAAAAGGAAAGGUAUUCCCUGGAAUAAUUCAAGUAAAAACACCAGACACAAAUCACCUGGAUAAUAAAACGUCCAUAAACUAUGAAAAGUUAUAUAAGGAAGUUAUCAAAUUUUUUGAAGGUGCAUUUAAAAAUCUUGAUUAUGGACAGACUGUAAUUCAGCAAGUAAGGUAAGUUUGCUAUGGACCAGUGAGGUACUUUGGAGUCAAGUGUGCAUUUGCUUAACUUCUCAUCUUCUCUUGAGUUCCCCAUGUAGCACUAUGGCCCUCUGGUGGGGAAGUCACAAGUCAGGGAGAAAUGGUCAGUCUGAUGUCACACUCACCUUGGUAUGUGGAUGGGCAGAGUGUAGCCUGG
Molecule: long non-coding RNA, 522 nt
Organism: Phyllostomus discolor (pale spear-nosed bat)
Lineage: Eukaryota; Metazoa; Chordata; Mammalia; Chiroptera; Phyllostomidae
Exons: 4
Source: RefSeq, a predicted model, not a curated record